AAGUCGUAACAAGGUAACCGUAGGUGAACCUGCGGUUGGAUCAUUAAAGAAAGUCUUGAAGGUUUUGACCUUUAAACACUUUAGGUUGUUUCUUUUUAACCUCUAGGGGUUAAAUUGAACACCUUUAACCUUGUGUGAAUUUGUUUAAAGUCUUUGGCAAGACUUGCUUUUCUUUAAAGCAACUUGCCUUUAGAUGUCUUAAACGUUUGAUUUACUUUAAAGAUCUAGUCUUUUUUACUAAUGUAAAAAACAACUUUUGACAACGGAUCUCUUGGCUCUC
This 280-nucleotide unclassified non-coding RNA is filed under the name fungal sp. RNAcentral describes it as "partial internal transcribed spacer region". The stretch from base 1 to 46 matches the Rfam family "Eukaryotic small subunit ribosomal RNA", at positions 1786 to 1831 of the family's 1831-position model. Lineage: Eukaryota; Fungi. The record is from RNAcentral.